UCGAACGAAAGUUUUUAACUUUAGUGGCGAACGGGUGCGUAAUACGUGAGAAUCUGCCCUUAGGAGAAGAAUAACUGCUGGAAACGGCUGCUAAAUCUUCAUAUGUCGAGAGAUGAAAUAGUUUAGGCUGCCUAAGGAUGAGCUCGCGCCUGAUUAGCUAGUUGGUGAGGUAAUGGCUCACCAAGGCCACGAUCAGUAGCUGGUUUGAGAGAACGAUCAGCCACACUGGGACUGAGACACGGCCCAGACUCCUCCGGGAGGCAGCAGUGAGGAAUUUUCCGCAAUGGGCGAAAGCCUGACGGAGCAAUACCGCGUGAGGGAUGAAGGAUUUUGGUCUGUAAACCUCUUUUCUCAAGAAAGAAGUUCUGACGGUACUUGAGGAAUAAGCAUCGGCUAACUCCGUGCCAGCAGCCGCGGUAAUACGGGGGAUGCAAGCGUUAUCCGGAAUUAUUGGGCGUAAAGCGUCCGCAGGCGGCCCUUCAAGUCUGCUGUUAAAAAGUGGAGCUUAACUCCAUCAUGGCAGUGGAAACUGAGGGGCUUGAGUGUGGUAGGGGCAGAGGGAAUUCCCGGUGUAGCGGUGAAAUGCGUAGAUAUCGGGAAGAACACCAGUGGCGAAGGCGCUCUGCUGGGCCAUCACUGACGCUCAUGGACGAAAGCCAGGGGAGCGAAAAGGGAUUAGAUACCCCUGUAGUCCUGGCCGUAAACGAUGAACACUAGGUGUCGGGGGAAUCG
This 732-nucleotide ribosomal RNA is filed under the name uncultured bacterium. RNAcentral describes it as "bacterial SSU rRNA". It matches the Rfam family "Bacterial small subunit ribosomal RNA", at positions 62 to 834 of the family's 1533-position model. The record is from RNAcentral.